UCUGUCUCUUUUAAAAGUCUAGGUCUUGUAUAAAUAAUCUAUGUGUAUGUGUAUUAUUGCAGUUGUGUUCACCUGCCUUACUCGGUUACCUCGUCAUUCCAAGAAUGUCAUCCAUCAUGCACAUUGCACAGUUGGCCAAUUCAAACAUUGUAUAGUAUCUUGAUUUUCCCUGUAUACAAUGCUCCACUCUCACUCAGUUUGCUUUGUUUUAUUCCUAAUAUACCAGUUAAUGUUUUACCCUAAAUGCAGUAACUGUCAUGCUUAUAUGACCCAACAGGCAGAAUAUAAAUGUAAAAAAAGAGGGACAGAGAAAGUAGCUAUACCAGUCCUUAGAGUGGACAGGUUGAACAAACUUAAAAUUUUUUACAAAAGUCAAAGCCGGUUCCAGGAAGCAAGUAAAACAUAACAGUAAG
Molecule: non-coding RNA, 413 nt
Organism: Pelobates cultripes (western spadefoot toad)
Lineage: Eukaryota; Metazoa; Chordata; Amphibia; Anura; Pelobatidae
Source: the annotation of a GenBank genome assembly